UGGCAUUUGGACAUCUUUGUCCCCCUACACUUGAGUCAUGCUCUGUCCGUGCUCAGGGCUGCGCCUGUUUUCAGUGCAUUCACAUUUCUAUCACUUUGAGGUCUGGGCUCGGCCCAGCAGUGGGAUGGGUAGAUUGGGAGGCCCAGGAUCUGGACUGGAUCUGUCAGCUGGAGUGUGGCAGGCGCUUGAGGAAUGAGCAGCAGCAGGUAGCAGGACAGCACCUGGUCUGACUAAGAGAAGACAGUCUCCGGGAAGAGCAGAGCAAUGACUCAGGUUAUAGACAAGGUUACAGUGAGUCUUGAAGGACUAACAUGAUGUCGCAGGAUGCCCUGCGAGGCAGGCGGAGCCCUACUGUAAUAGAAAUCCAGGGAAUUAGCAUCAGAUAAGCAUCAGCUGGUUGCAGGGCACCAAUCACUAGACUGUGCCUCUUGGGCAGACUCUGGUCUUGGGGGUAGGACAGUACCAGCGGGAAGAAGGCAAAUGCCCAGGUUUGCGUGGAGAGGGAGCCAGGCAGACGUAAGCACAUCAGAGACCAAGUCAAACCUGUCAUCAGAACCAGCUCACAGGCUCCUGUAGCCUAGAAGAAAGAGUGGGUUGGGAGUAAUCCUGGAAUGUUGAUCUUCAAGGUCAAAUGCCCCUCUACAAGGUCAGGGGUUGGUCCUAAAGACCAAAGUUCCAGGUCACACAUGGCAAAAGCCCUAAACCCAGGGAAGUGGCUUCAAUCUGCGCUCUCCACGGUCAGGAAGAGGGCCUUCAUUCACGUGGCAAACAUCUUCUGAGCACUCAGAUGUGUCAGGCGCUGAGUCACAAUGGAGAAUAGUCCCCGCCCUCAAGGAGCCCUGAGAAACAAGCCUCCUUUGACCGACUGUUGGUGAGCAACCACUGAAGCAGGAUUCUUUACAGCACCUCUGGCGCAAUCCUCACAGACUGGAGACCAGCCUCCACGCAGGACCUGCCGACACACUUCGUUACGCUCUGCACAGCAAAGCACAUACGCAGUAAAGUGCGCAAGUCUUGAGGAAACAUCUUGAUGGCUUUAUAAACCCAUCAACACAGUGUUUUAAAAGUAAGCUCACAUACCAAGGAAGCUGGGAAAGAAGCUUGGAAAAAAUGAGAUGCAAAGUGAGGGUUGGCACAGAAUUUGAAUGAUGAUUAGCAGGGCGGACACCUCAUUCCAAAGCAUCCAGUUGCACAUAGCAUUUGCUCAGCAAUUUACCAAGAGGACAAAGGUGGCCUCCUCUGCUGCUUGUUGGUGAAAGUUUGCUAGACUUAUCUUUGAACGGUGACUGUCAGUUAUUAACUUUUCUCGUGAAAAAAGUCCCUGGAAUGUAAAAAUUUAUUCCGAGCAACAGCACACACCAAACCUCCCUCACCGCUGCCGGCUUUCCAUCUCAGAUUCUGAUGGUGUGGAGACGAAAGGCUGAGGGCUCUCCCGGAGCUCACCUUCCAUCUGCGAAAGCCACUGCCGGGACAAUUCUUUCCCCAGAGAGAAGGCAUCCUCUUGGGCACAGAAGCGAGAUUGUCUAACAGUGUCCCAGAGCUCUCCGUACCUCAGUUUCCCGAUCUGCGCCUGCCAUACAUGGUGGUCCUACUGCUGGUUUGAAAAGUAUGCUACAAAUAUGAAGAGAUAAUCAGCAAGGCUCCUUGGAUAAGGUUAUUAUAUUCAAGUCUUGCCAAAAAAUGUAAGAAAAAAAACUCCAAUUUGAUGGGAUCCAGAGGAACAAUUAUGCUUUCUAAAAAUAAGAUGAGCCGAAGCUAAGGAAAUGAAAACGUUUCUAAAGAAGAAGGUCAGGACUUCUUUUGUGGCCUCCUUUCAUCGCUGGGUUAUUCACUGUAAUAGUAGCCUGCCAUUUCAAACUAUGACUCAGGGGCCUGGUCAUGGGUUACAGAGCAUUUCAUCUGUGGUCACCCCACCUGCCCACGAGAAAUUGAUGGUUAGCGACUACGGAGCAGGUUACUCACUGAAUAUUAUUCUCCACCGUAACCUCCUGACCCUUGCCUCAUCGAAAAGAUUGGUGCUAUUCUGCUUUUACCUACAGAGAAAGAGCAAGGAGGAGAUAAAAUAGGACCUUGAUAUUCGGGGUUGUGGCUCAUUUCUGAAGGUCGGACAUGAAAAGCUGUUUCGAAUUUUGCCCCAUUCGUUCUUAAAACCGCAGCCCAGGAAUUUAUAAGCAUAGCUGCCCUUUAUCUCUCCCAAGAAUGAAAUUGCUUUCUCCAAUAGAGUUUAAAGGGAUGAAUUAAUUGGUGUUUUUGGCAGGAGUACUCUAUAAUUGCAAAGUACUCUGAGUAUCACCAUAUAGUUUUUUCCUUAGAUGGUCCAUUAGGAGGAACUAUGGCAUUCCCAAAGCUAUUCUUUAAUUAGGUCAGCAGCAUCUGCCAAGAAUCCGCUCUCCUCUCAGACCAGGUUUAAUCACAGUGACAAGUGACUUUCAAGUUUAUACCCACACACUCUUAGAUUUCUGAUUUGCCCUAGAAGAAGGUUCUGAUCACAGUGUUCUGAGCGCUGGCCCCUGGGCCUGACUUCCCUGUCUGUCUGGAUUUGGGAUUUUUGGCCUGCCCUUACCUUGUGACUUGCCCCCCUGGAUUGCUGACCCAUUCUUGACCUCUGACAACAGCACGCUCCUUAACAUCUG
RNAcentral lists this long non-coding RNA (2633 nucleotides) under Equus asinus (donkey). Its description in RNAcentral is "lncRNA (ENSEASG00005025121.1)". The record is from RNAcentral. Lineage: Eukaryota; Metazoa; Chordata; Mammalia; Perissodactyla; Equidae.